This 460-nucleotide ribosomal RNA is filed under the name uncultured bacterium. RNAcentral describes it as "partial 16S ribosomal RNA". It matches the Rfam family "Bacterial small subunit ribosomal RNA", at positions 338 to 795 of the family's 1533-position model. The record is from RNAcentral.
CCUACGGGAGGCAGCAGUGAGGAAUAUUGGUCAAUGGACGAGAGUCUGAACCAGCCAAGUAGCGUGAAGGAUGACUGCCCUAUGGGUUUUAAACUUCUUUUAUAUGGGAAUAAAAUGUUCCACGUGUGGGAUUUUGUAUGUACCAUAUGAGUAAGGAUCGGCUAACUCCGUGCCAUCAGCCGCGGUAAUACGGAGGAUACGAGCGUUAUCCGGAUUUAUUGGGUUUAAAGGGAGCGUAGGUGGAUUGUUAAGUCAGUUGUGAAAGUUUGCGGCUCAACCGUAAAAUUGCAGUUGAAACUGGCAGUCUUGAGUACAGUAGAGGUGGGCGGAAUUCGUGGUGUAGCGGUGAAAUGCUUAGAUAUCACGAAGAACUCCGAUUGCGAAGGCAGCUCACUGGACUGCAACUGACACUGAGGCUCGAAAGUGUGGGUAUCAAACAGGAUUAGAUACCCGGGUAGUC